Molecule: ribosomal RNA, 505 nt
Filed under: uncultured bacterium
Lineage: Bacteria
Description: partial 16S ribosomal RNA
Rfam family: Bacterial small subunit ribosomal RNA
Source: RNAcentral
GACGAACGCUGGCGGCGUGCCUAAUACAUGCAAGUCGAACGCACAGUUUAUACCGUAGCUUGCUACACCAUAGACUGUGAGUUGCGAACGGGUGAGUAACGCGUAGGUAACCUGCCUGGUAGCGGGGGAUAACUAUUGGAAACGAUAGCUAAUACCGCAUAAUAUUAAUUAUUGCAUGAUAAUUAAUUGAAAGGUGCAAUUGCACCACUACCAGAUGGACCUGCGUUGUAUUAGCUAGUAGGUGAGGUAACGGCUCACCUAGGCGACGAUACAUAGCCGACCUGAGAGGGUGAUCGGCCACACUGGGACUGAGACACGGCCCAGACUCCUACGGGAGGCAGCAGUAGGGAAUCUUCGGCAAUGGACGAAAGUCUGACCGAGCAACGCCGCGUGAGUGAAGAAGGUUUUCGGAUCGUAAAGCUCUGUUGUAAGAGAAGAACGGGUGUGAGAGUGGAAAGUUCGCACUGUGACGGUAUCUUACCAGAAAGGGACGGCUAACUACGUG